This 219-nucleotide long non-coding RNA is filed under the name Vigna radiata. Its description in RNAcentral is "long non-coding RNA (VRAD_LNC004285)". The record is from RNAcentral. Lineage: Eukaryota; Viridiplantae; Streptophyta; Magnoliopsida; Fabales; Fabaceae.
AGUAAGAGAAUGUGACAAGAUAAAUUCAACGAGAGAAUUUGUCUUAGUGCUUAUUUUUCAUAUUAUAAAACGAUCUCAAUGUUUUAUGAGAAAGUCACCCAAAAAAAUCUAUUUCUUUUAUUUAUAUUGCUUUAGUGCUUGAAUCUUGUAAAUGUUUUUCUUAUUUUUGAGAGGAGAUGAUUAUUUUUUAUUUGAAGUUUUUUUUCCUUUUAAUAAAAC